This 387-nucleotide ribosomal RNA is filed under the name uncultured bacterium. RNAcentral describes it as "bacterial SSU rRNA". It matches the Rfam family "Bacterial small subunit ribosomal RNA", at positions 456 to 842 of the family's 1533-position model. The record is from RNAcentral.
GACGUGUCCCGGACUGCGUGUAUCCGAAGAAAAAGCAUCGGCUAACUCCGUGCCAGCAGCCGCGGUAACACGGAGGAUGCGAGCGUUAUCCGGAUUUAUUGGGUUUAAAGGGUGCGUAGGCGGUCCGUUAAGUCAGCGGUAAAAUUGCGGGGCUCAACCCCGUCGAGCCGUUGAAACUGGCAGACUUGAGUUGGCGAGAAGUACGCGGAAUGCGCGGUGUAGCGGUGAAAUGCAUAGAUAUCGCGCAGAACUCCGAUUGCGAAGGCAGCGUACCGGCGCCAGACUGACGCUGAGGCACGAAAGCGUGGGGAUCGAACAGGAUUAGAUACCCUGGUAGUCCACGCAGUAAACGAUGAAUGCUGGUUGUCCGGGUCGAAUGAGAUCUGG